RNAcentral lists this unclassified non-coding RNA (289 nucleotides) under uncultured Clavicipitaceae. RNAcentral describes it as "sequence contains ITS2". The stretch from base 1 to 52 matches the Rfam family "5.8S ribosomal RNA", at positions 103 to 154 of the family's 154-position model. Lineage: Eukaryota; Fungi; Ascomycota; Sordariomycetes; Hypocreales; Clavicipitaceae. The record is from RNAcentral.
AACGCACAUUGCGCCCGCCAGUAUUCUGGCGGGCAUGCCUGUUCGAGCGUCAUUUCAACCCUCAGGCUCCCCAGGAGCGUGGUGUUGGGGACCGGCCGCAACGCCCCGGCGCCGCUGGCGCGCGGUGGCACGCCGCCCCCGAAAUGAAUUGGCGGCCUCGUCGCGGCCUUCCCUUGCGCAGUAGCAUGAGACCACCUCGCAACCGGGAGCGCGGCGCGGCCACGGCCGUAAAACGCCCAACUUCUCAAGAGUUGACCUCGAAUCAGGUAGGAAUACCCGCUGAACUUAA